UGGCGGACGGGUGAGUAACGCGUGAGUAACCUGCCUCUAAGAGGGGAAUAACAUUCUGAAAAGAAUGCUAAUACCGCAUAACAUAUAUUUAUCGCAUGGUAGAUAUAUCAAAGAUUUAUCGCUUAGAGAUGGACUCGCGUCCGAUUAGUUAGUUGGUGAGGUAACGGCUCACCAAGACCGCGAUCGGUAGCCGGACUGAGAGGUUGAACGGCCACAUUGGGACUGAGACACGGCCCAGACUCCUACGGGAGGCAGCAGUGGGGGAUAUUGCGCAAUGGGGGAAACCCUGACGCAGCAACGCCGCGUGAAGGAUGAAGGUCUUCGGAUUGUAAACUUCUUUUAUUAAGGACGAAGAAAGUGACGGUACUUAAUGAAUAAGCUCCGGCUAACUACGUGCCAGCAGCCGCGGUAAUACGUAGGGAGCAAGCGUUGUCCGGAUUUACUGGGUGUAAAGGGUGCAUAGGCGGCUUUGCAAGUCAGAUGUGAAAUCUAUGGGCUCAACCCAUAGCCUGCAUUUGAAACUGCAGAGCUUGAGUGAAGUAGAGGCAGGCGGAAUUCCCCGUGUAGCGGUGAAAUGCGUAGAGAUGGGGAGGAACACCAGUGGCGAAGGCGGCCUGCUGGGCUUUAACUGACGCUGAGGCACGAAAGCGUGGG
This 654-nucleotide ribosomal RNA is filed under the name uncultured bacterium. RNAcentral's name for it is "bacterial SSU rRNA". It matches the Rfam family "Bacterial small subunit ribosomal RNA", at positions 96 to 765 of the family's 1533-position model. The record is from RNAcentral.